GAAAAAUUAGUUAAAUAAUAACAUAAGCCUGUCACGCUUAAAUUAUCAUUCUUCUGAUAUUUUUUA
Molecule: transfer RNA, 66 nt
Filed under: Solenocera alticarinata
Lineage: Eukaryota; Metazoa; Arthropoda; Malacostraca; Decapoda; Solenoceridae
Also listed under: 1 other name
Description: tRNA-Asp
Source: RNAcentral